CAGCCGCCGCGGUAAUACGAAGGGUGCAAGCGUUAAUCGGAAUUACUGGGCGUAAAGCGCGCGUAGGUGGUUUGGUAAGAUGGAUGUGAAAUCCCCGGGCUCAACCUGGGAACUGCAUCCAUAACUGCCUGACUAGAGUACGGUAGAGGGUGGUGGAAUUUCCUGUGUAGCGGUGAAAUGCGUAGAUAUAGGAAGGAACACCAGUGGCGAAGGCGACCACCUGGACUGAUACUGACACUGAGGUGCGAAAGCGUGGGGAGCAAACAGGAUUAGAUACCCCCGGUAGUCCCUGUCUCUUAUA
This 301-nucleotide ribosomal RNA is filed under the name uncultured bacterium. RNAcentral describes it as "partial 16S ribosomal RNA". It matches the Rfam family "Bacterial small subunit ribosomal RNA", at positions 509 to 808 of the family's 1533-position model. The record is from RNAcentral.